GACGAACGCUGGCGGCGUGCUUAACACAUGCAAGUCGAACGGAAAGGCCCUGCUUUUGUGGGGUGCUCGAGUGGCGAACGGGUGAGUAACACGUGAGUAACCUGCCCUUGACUUUGGGAUAACUUCAGGAAACUGGGGCUAAUACCGGAUAGGGGCUCCUGCUGCAUGGUGGGGGUUGGAAAGUUUCGGCGGUUGGGGAUGGACUCGCGGCUUAUCAGCUUGUUGGUGGGGUAGUGGCUUACCAAGGCUUUGACGGGUAGCCGGCCUGAGAGGGUGACCGGCCACAUUGGGACUGAGAUACGGCCCAGACUCCUACGGGAGGCAGCAGUGGGGAAUAUUGCACAAUGGGCGGAAGCCUGAUGCAGCAACGCCGCGUGCGGGAUGACGGCCUUCUGGUUGUAAACCGCUUUCGCCUGUGACGAAGCGUGAGUGACGGUAAUGGGUAAAGAAGCACCGGCUAACUACGUG
This 468-nucleotide ribosomal RNA is filed under the name uncultured bacterium. Its description in RNAcentral is "partial 16S ribosomal RNA". It matches the Rfam family "Bacterial small subunit ribosomal RNA", at positions 28 to 507 of the family's 1533-position model. The record is from RNAcentral.